CGGACGGGUGAGUAACGCGUGGGUAACCUGCCCCAUACAGGGGGAUAACAGUUAGAAAUGACUGCUAAUACCGCAUAAGCGCACUGCAUCGCAUGAUGAGGUGUGAAAAACUGAGGUGGUAUGGGAUGGGCCCGCGUCUGAUUAGCCAGUUGGCGGGUAACGGCCCACCAAAGCGACGAUCAGUAGCCGACCUGAGAGGGUGACCGGCCACAUUGGGACUGAGACACGGCCCAAACUCCUACGGGAGGCAGCAG
Molecule: ribosomal RNA, 254 nt
Filed under: uncultured bacterium
Lineage: Bacteria
Description: partial 16S ribosomal RNA
Rfam family: Bacterial small subunit ribosomal RNA
Source: RNAcentral